GGGUGGAGCCUUCCCUUGCCCUCCUCGGCACUUCCCCCACCUCACUGCCCGGGUGCCCACAAGACUGUGGACAGUGAGGUAGAGGGAGUGCCGAGGAGGGGACAGCUGGG
This is a non-coding RNA of Gorilla gorilla gorilla (western lowland gorilla), 110 nucleotides long. RefSeq annotates it as microRNA mir-3138. The transcript has a single exon. The record is from RefSeq and is marked provisional. NCBI's taxonomy places the organism in Eukaryota, Metazoa, Chordata, Mammalia, Primates, Hominidae.